GGGGCGGGGGAGGAGGUGGUGGAGGUAGAGAUGGAGGAGGAUGGGAUUGUGGAGGAGGUGGUGGUCGCGGAUGAGGUGGUGGAGGCAGUGGUAUGGAUGGUGGAGGAGGCGGGGAUGACAAAGGUGGUGAAAGAGGUGAAGGGGAUGGUGGUGGUAGCGACGGAGAUGGUGGAGGUGGCGAAGAAGACGGUGAAGGAGGCGGUGGUGAGGAUGGCAGAGAUGGGGGCGAAGGGGACGGCGGAGGUAGUAAUGGAGAAGGUGGAGGGGGCGAAGGGGUCAGUGGAGGGAGCGGAAAGAAUGGUGGAGGUGGUGGUGGUGGUGAGAAGAACGAAUGAGGUGGUGGAAUGGCUGGAGAUGGCAAAGGUGGAGGAGGUGGUGGAAUGAUUGGAGACGGAUAAGGAGAUGGCGCAGAAGGGGCCGGUGGAGAAGGUGGUGGAACGGUUGGGGAUGGUGAAUACGGUGGUGGAGGGGGCGAAAGGGAAGGUGGAGGAGGCGAAGGGGAUGGUGGAACGAUUGGAGAUGGUGCGGAAGGUGGUGGAGGGGGCGGCGGGAAUAGUGGAAUAGCAGGAGAUGGAUAAGGAAAUGGCGCAGAAGGUGGUGGAGGGGAUGGAGAUGGUUCAGAAGGUGGGGGUGGAGGAACUAGUGGAACGGCUGGAGGCGGAUAAGGAGAUGGUGCAGAAGGUGGUGGAAUGGUUGGCGAUGGAUAAGGAGAUGGUUGAGGGAGUGGUGGAGGGGGCGGAGGGGAGAGUGGAGGAGAUGAUGGCACAGCUGAAGACGGUAGUGCAGAAGAUAGUUCCUUCGUUGGAUAAGAAGCCAAUGAGUUAAUAGCACAAACACCAUAUGGCAAAUUAGUGUUUCUUCUUAUAUAUCCAUACCCCUCCACUCCCCAUGAUGUACCCCAUGAGUUUUUGAUUAUCCAGUAGCCAUCAUUCCCAUCAGAACCAUAUCCUACUAUUAGUACUCCAUGGUCUAAGUCAUCUGGACUACUAGAGCAACUUCCAUCAUAGAUUCCCUGCAUUUUUUCCAUAAUACAAGAAAAGGG
RNAcentral lists this long non-coding RNA (1042 nucleotides) under Capsicum annuum. Its description in RNAcentral is "long non-coding RNA (CANN_LNC003406)". The record is from RNAcentral. Lineage: Eukaryota; Viridiplantae; Streptophyta; Magnoliopsida; Solanales; Solanaceae.